GACGAACGCUGGCGGCGUGCCUAAUACAUGCAAGUAGAACGCUGAAGAGAGGAGCUUGCUCUUCUUGGAUGAGUUGCGAACGGGUGAGUAACGCGUAGGUAACCUGCCUUGUAUCGGGGGAUAACUAUUGGAAACGAUAGCUAAUACCGCAUAACAAUGGAUGACACAUGUCAUUUAUUUGAAAGGGGCAAUUGCUCCACUACAAGAUGGACCUGCGUUGUAUUAGCUAGUAGGUGAGGUAAUGGCUCACCUAGGCGACGAUACAUAGCCGACCUGAGAGGGUGAUCGGCCAAACUGGGAAUGGGACACGGCCCAGACGCCUGCGGGAGGGAGCAGUAGGGAAACUUCGGAAAUGGGGGGAAACCUGACCGAGCAACGCCGGGUGAGUGAAGAAGGUUUUCGGAUCGUAAAGCUCUGUUGUAAGUCAAGAACGGGUGUGAGAGUGGAAAGUUCACACUGUGACGGUAGCUUAACAGAAAGGGACGGCUAACUACGUG
RNAcentral lists this ribosomal RNA (497 nucleotides) under uncultured bacterium. RNAcentral's name for it is "partial 16S ribosomal RNA". It matches the Rfam family "Bacterial small subunit ribosomal RNA", at positions 28 to 507 of the family's 1533-position model. The record is from RNAcentral.